Molecule: long non-coding RNA, 788 nt
Filed under: Homo sapiens (human)
Lineage: Eukaryota; Metazoa; Chordata; Mammalia; Primates; Hominidae
Description: long intergenic non-protein coding RNA 293
Source: RNAcentral
ACAGAACAGACAUUGUGACAUAUAUCUAGGCAAAUUGCCUAGAAGUGAAUCCCCUCUCCUGCUUAAGUCCUUCCCACAGAGAGCGGUUUGAUAUGUCACUGAAACCAGCAUCCAGGUGAUGUGGUAUUGCUCCAUAUGCCUGAGACCCUAACAAAAGCCUAAUUACAACUCAUAUGCCUGGAGCCAGGACAUGUGCAGGAUGCCAUGAUGGUCCAAGUUAUAUUGGGAUUCAGCCAAUAGAAGAUAUUUUGCCUGUCAUCCCUAAGCUUAGGACAAUAGGGUCCUGCCCACAAGAAAGAUUGUGACAUCUCACUGGACAAGCACCCACCCAGACUCUGCCAAGAGAGGGGAUUAUUACAUAUUGCAGAGCCCAGCACCUAGGUGGAGUGACUCUCAUCUUUUUCUUCUACCCCGUAUAUAGCCAGCUUGGUGACCUACUAUUUGAGUCUAUACCCAGGCCCAGACCACAGAUGAAAUUGUGCAAUAUGUGGAACAAACACCUAAACAAUAUAUAACACCUUCCUUGGCUCUGUCUACAAAGGGCACUUUUAUAUAUCACUGGGACCAUCAACCAGGUGAUGUUAAUUAUCUUCCUGAAACCUGUCUACAAAGAGAGUUGUGUCGUAUACCUAGGCCCGUCAUGUAAGUGAUGUCAGUCCCUUCUACUGCCUUGGCCCUGCACUUACAGUGCAUUGUGACACAUAACAAGGUACUGCACACAGACGAUGUGAUUCUCCUUUUUGGGUUCUGCCAAAAGGAAGCAUUGUAAUAAAUCGCUUGGCUCAGUA